Molecule: non-coding RNA, 1030 nt
Organism: Podarcis lilfordi (Lilford's wall lizard)
Lineage: Eukaryota; Metazoa; Chordata; Lepidosauria; Squamata; Lacertidae
Source: the annotation of a GenBank genome assembly
CGCUGCUUUCUGCCCCGGCAGAGCUCCGGCCGCGGGACUGCUCCGUCUGGCUCGGGAUCGGGCCGACCCAGCCAGGAGGCGAGAGCAAGAGCCGCAGCGGCUUCCCGGGAUUUCAGGCGGGGAACAUUCCCGGGCCCUUUUCCCUGGAGGAGGUGAAGCGGGACCUUUCUGUCUGCAAGCGAAACUGCCCGCCCUAAGCCAGAGCAACGGGCACUCUUUAUUCCACCACACACAUAGCCGUGGAAAGGACUCUAAUCGUGCAGGCACUUAUUUUGGAAUCGAUUUUAUUCAUUCAAAAUAUUUUAUCGCUAACGUUAUUUAUUUAUUUUUAAGUUGUGCAGGUCUAUGGUAGCAUGUGCAAGAAGAUCCAACCUCUCCAUUCUGAAGGAAAUCAGCCCUGAGUGCUCACUGGAAGGACAGAUCCUGAAGCUGAGGCUCCAAUACUUUGGCCACCUCAUGAGAAGACAAGACUCCCUGGAAAAGACCCUGAUGUUGGGAAAGAUGGAGGGCACAAGGAGAAGGGGACGACAGAGGAAGACAAGGUGGUUGGAUAGUGUCUUCGAAGCUACCAGCAUGAGUUUGACCAAACUGCGGGAGGCAGUGGAAGACAGGAGUGCCUGGCGUGCUCUGGUCCAGGGGGUCACGAAGAGGCGGACACGACUAAACAACUAAACAACAACAAAUGGUAGCAUGUUAGCAUCAACGCUAAGGACCACUUCCUUGCUGCAGGGUUGCAUGAGCAUAACACAGCAGAGGGAAUAAUUUAUGUAACAGAAGAUGAAUCGCCCCACUCCUAAACCUCACCUUCUGUGACCACAUCCCCUUUUCUCCCAGGUCCAGUAUACCUGAAGGAGCGUCUCCACACCUCCAUCGUUCUGCCCUGACACUGAGGUCCAGUGCCAAGGGCCUUCUGGCGGUUCCCUAACUGUGAGAAGCCAAGUUACAGACAACCAGGAAGAGGGCCUUCUCGGUAGUGGCACCCGCCCUGUGGAACACCCUCCCACCAGAUGUCAAAGAGAAGAACAACUAC